UUGUAAUGAUGUUGAUCAAAUGUCUGACCUGAAAUGAGCAUGUAGACAUAUUUAAUACUGAAGAA
This is a small nucleolar RNA of Otolemur garnettii (small-eared galago), 65 nucleotides long. NCBI's taxonomy places the organism in Eukaryota, Metazoa, Chordata, Mammalia, Primates, Galagidae. The record is from Ensembl.